Molecule: ribosomal RNA, 484 nt
Filed under: uncultured bacterium
Lineage: Bacteria
Description: partial 16S ribosomal RNA
Rfam family: Bacterial small subunit ribosomal RNA
Source: RNAcentral
AUUGAACGCUGGCGGCAGGCCUAACACAUGCAAGUCGAGCGGAUGAAGGGAGCUUGCUCCUGGAUUCAGCGGCGGACGGGUGAGUAAUGCCUAGGAAUCUGCCUGGUAGUGGGGGAUAACGUCCGGAAACGGGCGCUAAUACCGCAUACGUCCUGAGGGAGAAAGUGGGGGAUCUUCGGACCUCACGCUAUCAGAUGAGCCUAGGUCGGAUUAGCUAGUUGGUGGGGUAAAGGCCUACCAAGGCGACGAUCCGUAACUGGUCUGAGAGGAUGAUCAGUCACACUGGAACUGAGACACGGUCCAGACCCCUACGGGAGGCAGCAGUGGGGAAUAUUGGACAAAGGGCGAAAGCCUGAUCCAGCCAUGCCGCGUGUGUGAAGAAGGUCUUCGGAUUGUAAAGCACUUUAAGUUGGGAGGAAGGGCAGUAAGUUAAUACCUUGCUGUUUUGACGUUACCAACAGAAUAAGCACCGGCUAACUUCGUG